This 6467-nucleotide unclassified non-coding RNA is filed under the name Manduca sexta (tobacco hornworm). RNAcentral's name for it is "transportin-1, transcript variant X1". The record is from RNAcentral. Lineage: Eukaryota; Metazoa; Arthropoda; Insecta; Lepidoptera; Sphingidae.
UUUUUUUAUCCUGGCAAUCGGAAGAUUUUGGCAUGGUUGAUCUUUACGGGACCGAGUGAAAUAAAACCGUUUUGUGAAAUUAUUAUGAAAAUGGAGUGGAAACCUGAACAGGAAGGGCUAAGACAAAUUCUAACGCUUCUUAAGGAAUCACAGUCACCAGACACAGCCACACAAAGAGCUGUCCAACAAAAAUUGGAGGAGUUGAACAAAUAUCCGGACUUCAACAACUAUUUAAUUUUCGUUUUAACAAAAUUAGUUACCGAAGAGGAGCCCACAAGGUCUUUGAGUGGAUUGAUUUUGAAAAACAAUGUGAAGGCCCACUACAACAAUUUCUUGCCUGAAGUGGCUGAGUUUAUAAAACGGGAAUGUUUGUCUGCGGUAGGCGAUCCCUCGCCACUGAUUCGCGCCACUGUGGGCAUUAUCAUAACCACUAUAGCUAGCAAAGGAGAGCUCACUUCAUGGCCUGAACUGUUGCCUGCACUGUGCCAGAUGCUUGACUCUCAAGACUACAAUGUUUGUGAGGGGGCUUUCGGAGCACUACAAAAAAUAUGUGAAGACACCGCAGAGAUCCUAGACAGUGAUGCAUUGAACCGACCAUUGAAUAUUUUAAUACCAAAGUUCCUGCAAUUCUUCAGGCAUUCAUCACCUAAAAUCAGGUGUCAUGCAAUUGCAUGCGUCAACUAUUUCAUUACAGGCAGAACUCUAGCCCUGAUGAUGCACAUUGAUGCAUUUAUUGAGAACCUGUUCCACUUAGCAGCUGACGAGGACCCAGAUGUCCGGAAGAAUGUUUGUCAUGCACUGGUGUUGCUAUUGGAAGUCAGACUGGAUAGACUCAUUCCUCACCUCCCCAAUAUUAUUGAGUAUAUGUUGGUGCGCACACAAGAUGCUGAGGAAGGCGUGGCUCUGGAGGCGUGCGAGUUUUGGCUCUCCCUUGCUGACCAAAAUGUCUGUCGUGAGGUGCUGGGCCCGCGACUGCCGGCGCUGCUGCCGGUGCUGGUCCGCGGCAUGCGCUACUCGGAGAUGGACGUGAUCCUUCAGCGCGGCGACCGCGAUGACGACGCCGACGAGGCCGAGCCCGACCGCGACUCCGACAUCCGCCCGCGCUUCCACAAGCCGCGCUCGCACUCGCUGCGCCACAACGCCGGCGCUGGCGAUAGCGCAAUGGCCGGCGGCGGCGACUCCGACUCCGAGUCCGAAGCUGGCGACGCCGACGACGGCUCGCUCUCCGACUGGAACCUCCGCAAGUGCAGCGCCGCCGCUCUCGACGUGCUCGCCAACGUGUUCGGCGCGGACCUGUUGCCUGUGCUGUUCCCCAUCCUGAAGGAGACGCUAUUCCACGAUGACUGGGUCAUUAAGGAGAGCGGCAUCCUGGCGCUGGGGGCAGUGGCAGACGGCUGUAUGGCGGGUAUGGUGCCGCACCUGCCCGACUUGGUGCCGUACCUGGUGUGUUGCAUGGCGGAGCGCAAGGCGCUCGUGCGCGCCAUUACCUGCUGGACGCUCUCCCGGUACUCGCAUUGGAUCGUGUCGCAAAGCCAUGACCUCUAUCUGCGACCCGUCAUGACAGAGCUAUUAAAACGAGUACUGGACAACAACAAGCGAGUACAAGAGGCGGCGUGUUCUGCGUUCGCGACGCUGGAGGAGGAGGCGUGCACGGAGCUCGUGCCGUACCUCGGCUACAUCCUGCAGACGCUCGUGUACGCGUUCAGCAAGUACCAGCACAAGAACCUGCUCAUACUGUACGACGCGAUCGGCACGCUCGCGGACUCGGUCGGACAUCACCUCAACAAGCCCGAGUACAUCAGCUUGCUGAUGCCUCCUCUCAUAAACAAAUGGAACGUACUCAAAGACGAAGAUAAAGACUUAUUCCCAUUACUUGAGUGCCUAUCGUCAGUGGCGACGGCGCUGCAGUCCGGCUUCUUGCCGUACUGCGAGCCGGUGUUCAGGCGGUGCGUGUCGCUCAUAGAGCAAACACUCAAUCAGAACAUAGCAAACAGUCAAAGUCCAGAGCAGUUUGAGGCGCCGGACAAAGAUUUCAUGAUAGUGGCAUUGGACUUAUUGAGCGGCUUGGCGGAAGGAUUGGAUGGACACAUUGAUCACCUCAUUUCCAAUUCCAAUUUGAUGCAGCUCUUGUACCAGUGCAUGCAGGAUCCAAUGCCUGAGGUGCGCCAGUCAUCUUUCGCAUUACUAGGAGAUUUAACUAAAGCGUGUUUCCAACACGUAUUGCCGUACAUACAAGAAUUUUUACCGAUCCUCGGAAUGAACUUAAAUCCAGAAUUAAUAUCAGUUUGUAAUAAUGCGACGUGGGCAAUAGGCGAAAUUAGUAUUAAAUUAGGACCGGAAACAUCAAAAUAUAUACCUCUAGUGCUAAAUCAUUUAGUCGAAAUCAUUAACAGGCCCAACACACCGAAGACCCUUUUGGAGAACACAGGUGCACGUAUUUGCGUAACAUCCGAGACAACGACGAGAAAGACUCUGCGUUCCGUGGCAUCUGCCAGAUGAUCCAGGUGAACCCGGGCGGCGUGGUGCCGGACUUCAUGUUCUUCUGCGACGCGGUGGCCUCGUGGUCGCAUCCUAAGGACGAUCUUAAGGAGAUGUUCACCAAGAUCCUGCACGGGUUCAAGAACCAAGUGGGCGAGGAGAACUGGCGCCGCUUCACCGACCAGUUCCCCGUGCAGCUCAGCGCACGACUCUCGGCCAUGUGCGGCAUAUAGAAACGAUCACUUCGUCAUGGGGAUUCAAUGUCAGCACGGGUCGGGAAGACAUUGCGGGUGUCCGCGGCCGCGGCGCCCGAGAGCGUAGGGACUCGUCACGAUGUUCGCCGGUCGCCGGCCUCGCUUCUGCCGCCACGAGCCACAAUAUGUGCCAACACCUGUGACCUCACUACAAUAGCGAGGAUAUUUUUCCGAUUUGUACCUAACGUCGAAUGUGUAGCUUAGAUUGUGAAUUGUUACACUUACUUUCCGUUCGCUUUGAUGAUUGCGUGAUAGCGGCGAUUCCACUAAGUUCGCGUCGAGAUGUAAGCGCUAGGUGGACUAGUGCAGUGCACGGAGUAGCCCUGUCUCGUACAACUCGGGUGCACUCGGGUGUACUCGGGUGUACUCGGGUGCACUCGGGCAAGGCUUGCUGUAUUCGCACCGCGUAAUGCCAACGCAGCACAUUGCAUGCUUGCGAGCCUGUUUGUUUUGGAUUUGAUCGUAACGAGUGUAACUCAUUGGCCUGUAGUUGUAGUAUUCUCACCAAUUAUUUAAAAGCGGUGAUUCAGCUACAAAUGUCAUACACGUGGCAACUUAUUACAUAAAUUUAAUUGCAUGAAACUUAGUGAUAGUUGAUAGUUUGUAAACGCGGUAAAUGAGACUCGCGUAGUUUGUUUUCGAUUGACCACUUUUGAUUUGUAGAUAAGUUAUCAGCAAAAAUAAAUCUAUACUACUUAACACACAACAAAGGGAAAUAUUCCAGUAUUCGAUUGGUAAAAACUCGCUUAGUAGUAAUCUAUAAAUAAUGUGAAAGUGUACAGUAGGCACAACGAUUGCAUUCGACUGCGACGUUUAGCUGUACUGACGUGCAAUUCAGGCUUAUACACCUCAUAGUCUUGCAUAUACAAUUCGAGCAAUAAUAAAUUGUUGUUAGUCGCAAGUUAUAACUUAAAUUUAUUUAGAAACAAGGUAAAAUAACCGAAGAGUGUUUAAAGCGAAGUUCCGUUCUGUUUGUGAGUGUAGGUUGGAGGGCGGAGCAGCAACGAACAGCAAACACGCGCUGAGCCCGCUGCCGAUCGCACUCGCCGUACAAUAUGAUAAUGAUUAGCAUUUAGGUUAACCGAUCCUGUUCACUGCUCAAUCUUACGACAGCACGUGUUCAUUUUCAAGUUUCACUAACAUUUGCAAAUAAGGAAGCUCUUAUAAUAUGAACGUAGUUCACAAGUCUUUAACACCUAACACCGAGCAGUUUUUUGACGUUAGACAUGUUUGUCAAAAAGCAUUUAUUUAUAUCUCCACUAGAGCUCUUCAGACAUCUAUUUUGGUAGGUGUUUAAAAUUUAUGUGUUAAUUAUUAUUUUAUAUAAAUUACAAGACUUAGUGAAAUCGAGAAUUUAUGUCAACUGUGAUUUGUGACUGGUUUUUUUUGACUAAUAUAUUUACGAUUACAUGUCUGUGUCUGUGUAGAUAUGAUAUAUACGGCUUUGAUAGAUUUUAUGACGGCUAGAUUUCUGCUAUAUAAUAUACCAAAUAGUAUUUUUAUGUUGUAUAUUGUUUAAUGGAUUUGUACGUUGAGUUGGCCUCGCUGCAUCGACUAGUUGUGUAUCGAGUAUCGAUACGCCCGCCGUCGCUUUGACGAUCGCCGCACAGUACCGUGUGGUGAUUAUCGUUCGCUUGUAAUAGAAAAGAUAAUAUCGCAGCAACUGCUAAUGCGUGAUGCGUCACAUCGUACAAUUAUACAUCGAUGUCGAUAUAUCGACAGUCGAGUCGACGUGGACAACUUGUUUGAUUGGUAUAAAGUACUAUUUACAUGUAUAUUUAAUGAAAGUAAUAUUAUGUAUAUGUAAAUACAUUUGCGAUGUAUAUUAUUAUAUUCAAGUAAAUUGUUAUUUUUUUGUUUUUAAACGCUAAAAGUCUGACUUUAAACACUUGUUAUAACGUCAUUUGGUUUUUCAGAUAAAUGGGAUCUGAAAUGGUGUAGUUCAUAUUAUUUAUGGACAUUAUUAGUCUACAAAUUUCAAUCGUAGCGUUAGGGUUCAAUAUUAUAGUAUGAUUUUCGGGGAUAUAAGAAAAUGUAACAUUCCGCUAAAUCCAAAUUUUAUUUUUGGCAAUAUCUAUCAUGAGUUUUUUUUGUUUUCAAUUUUCUAUGUUCACUGUUGUACGCUUAUGGAUACACGGAGAAGCAUUCUGGGUGUCGAUUUAGCACGAACAUGUUGAGUGAUACGUUAUUUGUACGCGCAGAUACCUUAGUAGUCUAGUUCCCUGAUUCCUGUGCGAUUCCUCUCCCAGCUCCUGUCUAGUCCUGAUCCUUGUAAUGUGCCAACGAAGCCCUGAUGGCGUGCAGGUGAAUGCGUACCAUUGCCAUACACUGCUCGAGGACAUGUGAUGUCUGCGGGCGUUGCGAUUCGAGUUUCAUUCAAGUCUCGGUACCCGUAGGAACAAACCUAAAUUGUAGUAACUCAGCGCUGGCUUUUGGACAAAUUUAACAAAAUAUUGUUUAUAUUUUAAGUAGAAACGAUUUUUACAAAUGUUACGGGUGACCUCGUAAUAUAUAUUUAAGGUAAGUAGAUUUUAUCAUCUUGGUUUUUUUUUAUUGAUAAUAGUUUGAUUUUCCUAAAAAGCAGCAGUGAUAAUAGUUGUUUAAGUGAUGCGUGCAUGUUGUGUGAGUGAGAUGGCAUCGUGAGGCACUCCCCUCCUUGAGGCACUAGGUAUAUUGUGAUUUGUGAAAUAUAGUUGUAUGGUACGAACGAACAUUUGUGAUGCAUUGUCGAUAUAAUUAUAGGUUGUUUGCGUCGCAUAUUAUAGCUGUCAUAAUUUGUGUUGUGGAUAAAUUUAUAAUAUUCGAGAUUGCAUAGUAUUUUAUUAAAUAUAUAUUACGUUGUCGAUGUACCUACGCGAAUACUCAAACCUUUAUUAAAUGUUUCUUAAAAUAUGACUGCAAUAACUUCUUGUACUUAUAAUGUAUUAGUAUAAUAGUGUAACUGCAAAAUAUAUACGUGUUCAUAGGCGUAAUAUUCUUUGAAAUUGUUGAAUAUAUCAUUAUUAUAAUAUAGAAAAACAUUUUAUAUUCACCGAUCGAACAAUUAGGCUGCUUCCAUCGACAUUUGUGCAGGCAUAUCGACAAUGACACGCCCAUCUCAUCAUCAGUCAAAACUAUUCUUGUAUUGUUUUGUCAUUUUUAUUAUGUAUAUUUUAUUUUAAAACAUGGAUUUAUCAAAUUAUACAAAUCUAUAUGUAUUUCUAUUAUAAUUACGUAUUAUUUACGUGUCACUUCGCUACCAUUCUGAACGUUAAGAGUUGUGUGGCGCCCUCUCGCGCUCGUCUGCCGUGAGAGGGCUUUGGCAAUGAUCACAUUAUUAUUGUAAAUCUCGUGAAAGAUGUAACAAUCACUUCACAUCCAUGAACCUAUGUCUUGUAUAAUUAUGUUUUAAAUUGUUGUAACAAUGUAACAUUUCAUUAACAUGUCACACAAAAUUUAUAAAAAUGAGUACAGAUAUUAUGUGAGCACAUAACCACACCCUACCUGACUACCUCUGUCUGCCUAAACCCUUGUUGAAAGGACGGCUUGAUGGACGAUAGCAUCUGCAUGCAGUACCUCCCGGGAGUUUUACUAACGUAUUAACAUUCCAUGUACUAUUUGUACUCAUUUUUAAACAUGUCGUGCAGUAAUGUAAACAGCCGUUUAUCAUGUUUUGAGUUCUGGUUGUAAUAAAUUGACCUCACAGUAGACAUUCUUUUACCAUACAUUUCGUUAAUAAAGCACUCAUUGUUCGAA